This 228-nucleotide ribosomal RNA is filed under the name Triticum aestivum (bread wheat). RNAcentral's name for it is "partial small subunit ribosomal RNA". The record is from RNAcentral. Lineage: Eukaryota; Viridiplantae; Streptophyta; Magnoliopsida; Poales; Poaceae.
CCACUCAUUGACAAAUACUCCGGCAAGAUGAAAGGAUGGAAACCUAGGAUGUUGGCUGCAGCGGGACGCUUGACCCUCACGAGUUCGGUUCUCUUGGCCCUUCCCAUCCAUUUUAUGUCAGUACUCCCUUUGCCUAUUUGGGCAAUCAAGAUUAUCGAGAGAAGGUGCAGAGGUUUUGUUUGGAAAGGGGAGAAAGACAUAAACGGCGGUCACUGCCUACUCCCCUGG